AACGAACGCUGGCGGCAGGCCUAACACAUGCAAGUCGAGCGCGCCUUCGGGUGAGCGGCGGACGGGUGGGUAACGCGUGGGAAUAUGCCCUUCUCUACGGAAUAGUCCUGGGAAACUGGGGGUAAUACCGUAUACGCCCUUUGGGGGAAAGAUUUAUCGGGGAAGGAUUAGCCCGCGUUGGAUUAGGUAGUUGGUGGGGUAAUGGCCUACCAAGCCGACGAUCCAUAGCUGGUUUGAGAGGAUGAUCAGCCACACUGGGACUGAGACACGGCCCAGACUCCUACGGGAAGCAGCAGUGGGGAAUCUUAGACAAUGGGGGCAACCCUGAUCUAGCCAUGCCGCGUGAGUGAUGAAGGCCUUAGGGUUGUAAAGCUCUUUCAGCUGGGAAGAUAAUGACGGUACCAGCAGAAGAAGCCCCGGCUAACUCCGUG
This 431-nucleotide ribosomal RNA is filed under the name uncultured bacterium. RNAcentral's name for it is "partial 16S ribosomal RNA". It matches the Rfam family "Bacterial small subunit ribosomal RNA", at positions 29 to 507 of the family's 1533-position model. The record is from RNAcentral.